RNAcentral lists this long non-coding RNA (859 nucleotides) under Zea mays. RNAcentral's name for it is "drought responsive lncRNA". Lineage: Eukaryota; Viridiplantae; Streptophyta; Magnoliopsida; Poales; Poaceae. The record is from RNAcentral.
CCCUAAUUGUCCCCUAACCCUGUUGUGUGACGACUAGUCGUGCGUGCCCAGGCUCUCCAAAUAUUUCUACUACUACUGCCAAUAGGCACAAAACUAAUGUCAGUACCAGUAGGCUGUGUUGAGCGCGUCUGUGAUUUGGCACUAGUAGUAGUAGCACUAGUAUAAAGAAGCCCCCCGCCCGACCUACGCAGGCAUCCCACUCGCGCCAUCACCCGACGCAAAGACCACUCUCAGCCAGCCUCAAGGCGCGCGCAACGCCGCUCCUGCGCUUGCGUGGGUCGUCGGCAUGGACAAGCAGGAUGAGAGGAAGAAGCCCCACGGGAAAACAGACCCCAAGAGGGGCGACAUCAUGAAGCGGAUCAUAAAGGACCUCACCGGCGGCGGCAACGACGGCGGCGGCGGUGCCAGUGACGGUGGUGGUAACAGCGGCUCCGGCUCCACCCCCGCUGGCGCCGACUGACGCACAUGGCGCGUGCGUACCCAGUUACGACGGCAGGGGCGAGCGGUGAGCCCCCGUGAAUCCGUGAUGGUUUGUGUAGUUGUUGCUUUCUCGAAUCUGGUUAUCUGGCAAGGCUAGCUGCCGGCUGCGUAUCGUACGUUAGUGUAGGGGGCGGUCAGCGUUCGGAUGGCGGGAUGGGUGGUGUGCAAUUUAAGACUGUGCUGUGUAACACUUGUGCUCAAUAAUUGUGGAUGAUCAAAUCGAUGGGGCCGCACGCCCGCACCUAUUUGCGUCUCUCUCCUCUUUGCUGAAUCUCUCCUCGUUGUCGUUACUAUUCACGUGGUAAUUAUUAUAUUUUUUUUUUGUCUCCCCACGAACGGAUUAAUUCGUGCGUGUUAAUUGUAUCCUUGAGACUUUCAC